Molecule: non-coding RNA, 24 nt
Filed under: Arabidopsis thaliana (thale cress)
Lineage: Eukaryota; Viridiplantae; Streptophyta; Magnoliopsida; Brassicales; Brassicaceae
Source: RNAcentral
CAAAUAGUGCAUGAUUUACAACAC